GUGCUCCUGCCCCCACAACAGAUCCCUUCCCCCCCGCUUCCCGGCUCGGUGCCAGCUGAAGGCUGAUCAUUAACCAGUCAUCGUGGCAGCCCUUGCCAGCCUGGACGCUGUCACUGGGAGGAGUGAGGGCUGAGGGGACCUUGCAUCUGUUCUGCACAGCAUUCUUGACCAGCUCGGUCCUCUUUUUGGCCUUGCUCACUGCCAAGGAAGGAAAAGUUCCCAAGACUAAGAAUCUAUGGACUUGUCCCGAGGCUUCUUCCCUGACAUGAUCUCCCAUCCCCAGGAAGUCCCUUGGAGGGACUAUGAAGGAAGCUGAGCGUGGGGACACACGCCUGUAAUCUUGGGAAGGAGGAACACCACUUCGAGGCUGGCCUGGAGUCACACUGAGACCCAUACAGGUGAAAACAAAGCAAGAUAGAAAGUUCGAGAAGGAGAAGUACAGGGAAGAAAUACUGGACGGAGAACAAAGGAUAGAACAGGCUGUGGCCAAACCUCAUCGUGACUCAUCACAUGGCCAAGGCAGGAGGCCCCAAGUCAGGGAGGAAUUCUUGUAUUCUGAGGAUAGAGGAAGGGACCUCAAGAAUGUGAUAGCUUCUGGAAGCUAGAAAAGCAAGACGGAUGCCCUUCGGAGCCCCGAGAAGAAACACAGCCAAGCAGACACCUUGACUCUUGGCUGGUAAGACCACUUUGGAUUUCUGGCCUUAGAAAUGUAGUAUGUGUCAGGCUAUGGAGUUUGAUGUAAUUUGUACAGCAGCAUCAGGAGAAAAAUACAGUGUUCAAAGGCCAACCCGAGGCACCCUGGUGAAGACAAGAAACCCAGAGUCCAUUCUUCGGCACCUGAUACUCCAGGACCACGGGGGGUGGGGUGGGGGGGUGGGGUGGGUGGGUGGGGGGGAACGGGGACAGACUGGGAAGCUGAAACUUGCCCUCUACCUUGUCUCACAGAGGGCAGGCCCACAGGGACCGGAUCUGGCCAAUCAUGGUUUACUAGUGACCUACAGUAGUAAUAAAAAGGCCACGCUCCUUCUUCCUCCCCCCUUCCCACCUCCGUACGGUUCUCCUCUCACCUGCUGCCAGGGCAGGCUGGUCAAUAGACUGUCCAGCUGCCAGCCUUCGGCAGCCGGGAUGUUGUCUUUUUCUCCCAUAACUUGUGACCCAUCCAACUAGUGACCCAGAAAAAAAAAAAAGAUCGGCCUGGAAAGGGACACCAAAGUUAGCAAAACAAGUCACCUAAUCAGCUCCACCUCCGCUGCAGGCUGCCAGCCAGGAGUCACUGCAGAUUCGGCCCGGCUUUCUGGAAGGAGCCAUGGAAGGGAGACUCUCCCAGGCCCCUCUCCUUCGAGACGAGAACCAUCAGGCCUGUUUUAGAACUUGGAGCCCUGAGUUAUGGAGAGGGUGAGUAGCAUGGCCAGAGACACACAGCAAAGUCAGACUGGGCCAGAGCAGAAGGCAGCUCGCCCAGCUCCUCAGGCCCGGCCGGGCUUCUCAGGCUUGGUUUUGCGGGCUUUGGUUGUACAGGUCAGUGGGGUGUGGCCUCUGGGUAGGUGGUCCCCGUGGAAUUCAGAGUUAUAAAAAAAAAUCAUUAAACCUGUCAUUACAAAGCAGGCAACUGAUGACCCAGCAGAAAAGAUUUUCCAGACUUGGGAGGGCUCUACAUUGCUGUGUGUGUGUGUGUGUGUGUGUGUGUGUGUGUGUGUGUGUGUGUGUGUUUGGAAGGUAGUCAGGGGAGAAGGGUUGAUGCACUAAACUACCGUCAGGUCAAGGCAUGUGUGCUCUGUACACAAGCCCACAGAGAGCGCCCCACCUCUGUCGAUGGACCCCCCCUUUCUCUCUCAGCAUCUCCUGGCUUUUCCUUCUCUACUAUUCUUUUGAGAGAUCCUGGACUCUCACUUCAGGAGCAAUGCUAAUCGACUCCCCAGAGUCAUUGCCAAGGACUGCGCUGCCUAAGAGUGAAUGGCUGCCCAGGCUUCUGCUACCGGAGCAACCGGCGCCACAGCCGGGCACAGAGGCGGAGCGGGCCAGCUCAAGGCCACCAGGCUGCUGACCUUUCACAGAGACCGGCCCUUCGGGGACACUCUCAUUUCUGACUCUCACGAAAGGACGCCCCUUUGUUUCCUGCAAAAGCAAGAGAAUGGAAUGACUUCAUUUCAAGUGGCACUGUGGGUCAUAAGUAUUUACACGGGUACCAGUCACCCCAGGGGGCUGCUGUGUACACGUGGAUGUGCACAGUUCUGUCAAGUGCCACCCACCCUUAAGGGCUCAGAGUGGGGAGAACUAGACUGAGUCUCACCGGGCAGAGGUGGAAAUCAGUAACCAAUGUAUGUAAUAUAUAUAUUUAUGACCACACACACACACACACACACACACACACACACACACACACACACAUCCCACACAUGCACACACGCAAAAACAGAAUAAAUGACAACAAGACCCAAUCUCAAUAGAUGCAGAAAAAACACAACACACCCUUUUAGGAGAGGGACACCCAAGGAAUAGAAGGGAGCUUCUCAGUCUGAGACAAGAUGUCUACCAAACACGCUGGGCGCACAUCAGAGUUAAUGGUGAAAGAUGAGCAAAGAUCCCUAAGCUCAAAGCUUCUGUUUGACAUUGUUCUGCAGGUUCUAGCCUGGGCAAGAAAAAUAAACUAACAAGUGUUGGCAGCCUGGGUUGGUGUCCCAAGCCUGUGAUGGGAAGGUAGAGGCAGGAAGAUCCAGCAUCCAAGGUCAGUUCAAAGCUAACCAGCAUGAAAUGAGACCUUGUUUCAAAACAAAACAAAACAAAAAACCAGAAAC
Peromyscus maniculatus bairdii (prairie deer mouse) is the source of this 2795-nucleotide non-coding RNA. NCBI's taxonomy places the organism in Eukaryota, Metazoa, Chordata, Mammalia, Rodentia, Cricetidae. The record is from RefSeq and is a predicted model, not a curated record.